UACGAAGGGGGCUAGCGUUGCUCGGAAUCACUGGGCGUAAAGCGCACGUAGGCGGCUUCUUAAGUCAGGGGUGAAAUCCUGGAGCUCAACUCCAGAACUGCCUUUGAUACUGAGAGGCUCGAGUCCGGGAGAGGUGAGUGGAACUCCGAGUGUAGAGGUGAAAUUCGUAGAUAUUCGGAAGAACACCAGUGGCGAAGGCGGCUCACUGGCCCGGUACUGACGCUGAGGUGCGAAAGCGUGGGGAGCAAACAGG
Molecule: ribosomal RNA, 253 nt
Filed under: uncultured bacterium
Lineage: Bacteria
Also listed under: 1 other name
Description: partial 16S ribosomal RNA
Rfam family: Bacterial small subunit ribosomal RNA
Source: RNAcentral